UCCGGAGGGUGCAAGCGUUAUCCGGAUUCACUGGGUUUAAAGGGUGCGUAGGCGGGCAGGUAAGUCAGUGGUGAAAUCUCCGGGCUUAACCCGGAAACUGCCGUUGAUACUAUCUGUCUUGAAUAUAGUGGAGGUGAGCGGAAUAUGUCAUGUAGCGGUGAAAUGCUUAGAUAUGACAUAGAACACCCAUUGCGAAGGCAGCUCGCUACACUAUCAUUGACGCUGAGGCACGAAAGCGUGGGGAUCAAACAGG
This 253-nucleotide ribosomal RNA is filed under the name uncultured bacterium. RNAcentral describes it as "partial 16S ribosomal RNA". It matches the Rfam family "Bacterial small subunit ribosomal RNA", at positions 524 to 776 of the family's 1533-position model. The record is from RNAcentral.